Long non-coding RNA from Perognathus longimembris pacificus (Pacific pocket mouse), 576 nucleotides. RefSeq lists it as uncharacterized. The transcript is spliced from 3 exons. NCBI's taxonomy places the organism in Eukaryota, Metazoa, Chordata, Mammalia, Rodentia, Heteromyidae. The record is from RefSeq and is a predicted model, not a curated record.
UGUUAAUGAAGUGGAUACAAAAUUGCCUGGCAAAGGGUUGGCUCUGGUUCACCUGUUCCCUCUACUCUCCAGCCAGGUAGGGGAAACUAGUGAGUAAGUCAGUGGUUUGAAUGAGCUUGUGUUUCUGUGAAGUGGAACUCAACUUGAUUAUACCUAACAAGUUCAACUCCCCUGAUCCCGCUUAGGAGGAUUUUAACUGUCUCUGUGGCAUUUAGGAUCUACCAGAAAUCUAGAUGAGAGUGAUUUUUUUUUUGGCUUGGCAUUCUCUGCUUCUUUUAAUAGGGCUGGACCAAAAGGAUAAGCAAUGUAGGCACGUCAUAUCCAGCACAGAGUUCAGAUCAAGUGGGACCAGGAAAGGCUAAUGGAGAAGUUUAUCUCAGAUAAUGUCAGAAAGGGAGAAGUUCCUAAUGGCUUCAUGGGGUUUAGUUUUAUGUACUUGGACUCAGGGCCAUAUGCUCUCAAUGUUUUGUUCAUGGCAGGCAUUCUAUUGUCUUAGCUAUGCCUCUACUUAAAGGGUGGUAGGAAUCUCAUGGACAUUUAUGCCAGGCCUUUGAGCUAUGUUCUUUACUUCUUAGC